This 482-nucleotide ribosomal RNA is filed under the name uncultured bacterium. Its description in RNAcentral is "partial 16S ribosomal RNA". It matches the Rfam family "Bacterial small subunit ribosomal RNA", at positions 28 to 507 of the family's 1533-position model. The record is from RNAcentral.
GAUGAACGCUAGCGGCAGGCCUAAUACAUGCAAGUCGGACGGGAUUCAGGAGCUUGCUUCUGAUGAGAGUGGCGCACGGGUGCGUAACACGUAUGUAACCUACCUUUAUCAGGGGGAUAGCCUCUCGAAAGAGAGAUUAAGCCCGCAUAAAAUCACAGCACAGCAUUGUGUAAUGAUCAAAUAUUUAUAGGAUAAAGAUGGGCAUGCGGAACAUUAGCUAGAUGGCGGGGUAACGGCCCACCAUGGCGACGAUGUUUAGGGGAUCUGAGAGGAUGGCCCCCCACACUGGUACUGAGACACGGACCAGACUCCUACGGGAGGCAGCAGUAAGGAAUAGUGGUCAAUGGGCGGAAGCCUGAACCAGCCAUGCCGCGUGCAGGAAGACGGCCCUACGGGUUGUAAACUGCUUUUAGACGGGAAUAAACCCAGAUACGUGUAUCUGGCUGAAUGUACUGUAAGAAUAAGGAUCGGCUAACUCCGUG